UGAAGAAUUAGGGUUUUAUAUUUUGUUGAUUUUGUUGUGAUAUAUUUCAGGUUGAUUUUGUUGAUUUUGAAAGUGUAGACUCAGAAUGGAUAGUUGAUUUUGUUGUGCUAUAUUUCAGGUUGAUUUUGUUGAUUUUAGGUUGAUUUUGUUGUGCUAUAUUUCAGGUUGAUUUUGUUGAUUUCAGGUUGAUUUUGUUGUGCUAUAUUUCAGGUUCAUUUUAUUGAUUUUGUUGAUUUUGAAAGUGUAGACUCAGAAGGGGUUUACUCAAGCAUCGUUCGUUUAGUUUUGAUUGAAAGGCAGAAAUUAGAGUAUCUGCCUAGAAACUGGACAGUUCUUGAAGAGAGAGAACCUAAGGACUGAUGUUCACUUAUGGUGAAUUGUAAAAUCUCAAGAAUUCAAGUUCCUUAGCUCAAUUUCUCGUGGUGUAAUUUGCAGUGAUGUCUUCUCACGAUUCAGUAAGCACGGUGUUCAAAUGUAUGCAAAACGGAGCCGUUGAUUUUCUCAUUAAACCUGUUCGCAGGAAUGAGCUAAGGAACUUGUGGCAGCAUGUGUGGAGAAGACAUACUAUUAGCAAGCCUCCUCAAAAUAUAACAUUGGCACAUGAUAAACUUGAUGUUGCUGAAGAAAACAAUACUGCAAGUAAUAAUUCUAGUGGUUCUGUAGCUUCCACGCAGAAAAUCGAGUGCAGUGGAAAAAAUAGUGAGACUCCAGCUCAAG
Molecule: long non-coding RNA, 717 nt
Organism: Vicia villosa (hairy vetch)
Lineage: Eukaryota; Viridiplantae; Streptophyta; Magnoliopsida; Fabales; Fabaceae
Exons: 3
Source: RefSeq, a predicted model, not a curated record